This 406-nucleotide ribosomal RNA is filed under the name uncultured bacterium. RNAcentral's name for it is "partial 16S ribosomal RNA". It matches the Rfam family "Bacterial small subunit ribosomal RNA", at positions 29 to 526 of the family's 1533-position model. The record is from RNAcentral.
AUUGAACGCUGGCGGCAGGCUUAACACAUGCAAGUCGAACGGGUGGCGGACGGGCGAGAAAUUUUGGGGACUCUGCCUUCUGAAGGGGGAAAACGACGGAAAACUGUCGCUAAUACUGCGAACCUUAGCAUGAGCCCAAGCGGGAUUGGGAAGUUGGUGGGGUAAGGGCCUACCAGGCCGACGAUCGCUAGCUGGUCUGAGAGGAUGACCAGCCACACCGGGACUGUGACACGGCCCGGACUCCUACGGGAGGCAGCAGUGGGGAAUAUUGCGCAAGGGGGGCAACCCUGACGCAGCCAUGCCGCGUGAAUGAAGAAGGCCUUCGGGUUGUAAAGUUCUUUCGGUGACGAGGCGUUAAUCACAGAAGAAGCACCGGCUAACUCCGUGCCAGCAGCCGCGGUAAUAC